GCUAACAGCGCAUAGCCAAGCGCUAGCCUUUAGGUGUAUUGUCCCCUUUCACUUGUUCGCCAUUUUUCAGUAAAGCUGAAUCAUGGAUUCGAUCUUCAACUUGUGUGAGUUCUUCUUCACCUCACGCUACAAUAUGAAUACUUAUGCGAUGUUAUUUAGCAGUUCUGUCCGUUUUACGGAUGUUUGUGGAACAACAGAACAAGGCAAAGGAAUGACUGUUAUUGUGGUAAGUAAUGAUUAACCUCUGCUUUUUUGUUAGCUUUUAAUCAGUAAUGAAGUGUGACUGGUUCAUCACUUUACUUUAGGGGGCACAAACAUUAUGAAUCCAUCAU
This is a long non-coding RNA of Colossoma macropomum (tambaqui), 332 nucleotides long. RefSeq lists it as uncharacterized. NCBI's taxonomy places the organism in Eukaryota, Metazoa, Chordata, Actinopteri, Characiformes, Serrasalmidae. The transcript has 2 exons. The record is from RefSeq and is a predicted model, not a curated record.